AGCGGCGGACGGGUGAGUAACGCGUAGGAAUCUACCUGGCUAGUGGGGGACAACAUGUGGAAACGCAUGCUAAUACCGCAUACGACCUAAGGGUGAAAGUGGGGGACCUUCGGGCCUCACGCUAUCGGAUGAGCCUGCGUAAGAUUAGCUAGUUGGUGAGGUAAGAGCUCACCAAGGCGACGAUCUUUAGCUGGUCUGAGAGGAUGAUCAGCCACACUGGGACUGAGACACGGCCCAGACUCCUACGGGAGGCAGCAGUGGGGAAUAUUGCGCAAUGGAGGAAACUCUGACGCAGCCAUGCCGCGUGUGUGAAGAAGGCCUUAGGGUUGUAAAGCACUUUCAAUUGGGAAGAAAGGUUGUACGUUAAUAGCGUGCAGCUGUGACAUUACCUUUAGAAGAAGCACCGGCUAACUCCGUGCCAGCAGCCGCGGUAAUACGGAGGGUGCGAGCGUUAAUCGGAAUUACUGGGCGUAAAGCGCGCGUAGGCGGUUUGUUAAGUCGGAUGUGAAAGCCCUGGGCUCAACCUGGGAACUGCAUUCGAUACUGGCUAACUAGAGUGCGAGAGAGGGAGGUAGAAUUCCAUGUGUAGCGGUGAAAUGCGUAGAUAUGUGGAGGAAUACCGGUGGCGAAGGCGGCCUCCUGGCUCGACACUGACGCUGAGGUGCGAAAGCGUGGGGGAGCAAACAGGAUUA
RNAcentral lists this ribosomal RNA (692 nucleotides) under marine sponge bacterium LIQUIDt253. RNAcentral describes it as "bacterial SSU rRNA". It matches the Rfam family "Bacterial small subunit ribosomal RNA", at positions 94 to 780 of the family's 1533-position model. The record is from RNAcentral.